UGACUGUACAUUGACAAGCACUAGCAGGACCUGACCGUUGACCCAUGUGAGCUGUGCACCAGGAAGGCCCCAGAGACUUCAAAUGCAGCCUGAAAUUGGGGCUGGGCCCUCAAGUUCACUUCAAGGGUGUUGGUGCCAGGAGAUGUGAUAUUUUCAAAUGUUUGCCACCGUAAGUCCUUGGAAAAAGACCUCUUUCAGAAUCAAAGUCACUGGGCUUGGCGUGUUCCAUUAGGAAGCUCAUUAAAGCCUAAGAAACAUCUUUGGCAAUGGCAAGACACCAUUGGCUCGUAUGGCAAGGAUCUGGAUGGCAGGAUCUGUGCUUUAUGAAUGACUACGGACUGGCACAGCCUCAGAUGCAGAGUGUCUGAGCACCACAGUGGAGGACUAGAAAGUGUAUGAAGUUGUAUUUGAUGUCUUCUGUUUUAGCAUACUCUCCCACUUCGUGGAAUCUGUUGGAAGCUUCUCUAUGUUGUCUGCUCACAGACUCCAGUUUCGUGUUGCCUUCUGGUCACAGUCCUUGCUUCGGUAGCCACCAAAGCCUGUCCAUUUCAAAGGGCUCUUGGGCUCUGAACUGCCUUCCCCGGACGGCAGUUCUAAGACCCUGUGCUGCAAGAACAAGCUCAGUCUGUUAAAAAAGAGUUCCAUGCCGUGGAGAUGUCAGGCACCAUCUGGCAGGAUGCUGUUGCCUCUCCCUAGCAACUGCUCCCACAUCCAUGUCUCUGGUUACCUUGCCUGCUUCCCUAGUUACCAGAACUUCCAGUCUCUAGCACACCUCCGAUACCACCUCCGUCGGUUUGCAGCUUCCUCCCAGAACCUCUUGAAAGCGGGUCCCGGUGAUUCUGCCUCCAGGAUCACAGACUGACUCUCAGCACCAACCAAACCCACAGUUUCACUCCUGUCAAGCCCACAGUAUCUAUGAGUCAAAACCGCCAGCACUUUAAUUCAGUGUUAAACAAUCUAAUCGAUCAACCAGUGAAUCUCAAUCGUGGAUGUACAUUUGAAUCACCUGCAAGCCUUUAAAAAGACUAACCCCCGCGCCGGGCACCAGCCCCAGAUAUUCUGAUUUAAUUGGUCUGAGGACAGCUCUGUGGACCUGCAUCACUACCUACUGAACAUAGACUUUGUCCAUGUGACUCGCUGGUUGAAUAUUAUGCACCUUUUAAAACUAUAACUCUUCAAUGCCUCCAAAGUGCUGUGUAAAACCUUGAAAUAGUCAGUUAUAUAACAAGAAUGUCACUAACCAUGUUUUCCAAUCAGAUCUUCACCGUUUUUCUCAUAGUCCUCCAUCUCUUCCUAUUCAAGGUGAGGUCCUGGCGCUAGCAACAUCUUAGACAUCCAGAAUAUAUGGCCCCAGUCCAGACCAACUAAAUUGAAAUCUGCAUUUUUAACCAGGUCCAAAGAGAACCCACGGCUGCAUUCAAGUUUGAGAAGCAGUACCCAGUAAACUGCUUUUACGAAUCUUACUGUUAGAAUAACCUCUUUAAAGGCUCUCUUUUUGUGGCCUUAGCCCUUAUUUUCCACUGAAUUUCUCUCUGUGGAUGCCCUGCUCCCACAAAACAGGUCCACCUCCAGCUUCUAGGCUUGGGCUCUCCUCGACACGCUUGCCCACCUUCUGCAAAGCUCUCUCCCGUCCUCUCUGCCUGAAGGCAGCAUUCUCAUUUCUCAAAAUCCCAACAGAGCCUCUCCUCUCCAAAACCUCCCUAGAUCUCUCCAGCC
Molecule: long non-coding RNA, 1716 nt
Filed under: Homo sapiens (human)
Lineage: Eukaryota; Metazoa; Chordata; Mammalia; Primates; Hominidae
Description: HSALNT0203874
Source: RNAcentral